AAGACGUGGCGUCCCAUUAUUAAUUAGUCUAACGGCGCGCGAGAUAAGGCAAAAGGAGAAGAGAACUUUUAGCACGACGGAUCCGGAAAUGGCUUUAGAAGUUCCCGGAGUAAUGUCUUAUUUGGCAGAUCCCGCCCGGAUCGCGGCGUUUUAAUGUGUGAGGUAGUUAACCUAACUUCAGACCUUUCUGAUUCUUCUUCUUCGCCAUGGGCUGAGCUUGCAAUAUCUUUCGUAAUACUGUAAAUUCGUAGUCAGAUUUGUAUUACUUUCUCUUAUUCCCCUCAUUUUUUUUAUCUUGUUAAAUAUCUAGUGUGUUUCCAUGAAUUUAGGUUCUUGCUGAAGCAAAUAUAAGUCCUACUGAACAGAAAGUAUGGUAUUCUUCUAUCUACAAUUUUGAGACACUGAAAUUGAAUGGGAAAAUUCUACACUGACUUUUGUUUUUCACAUUUAUGUCCUAACUGAAGUUGGUGAAGGUCAGUUGUCAAAGUUAAUUUACCUAAAAAGAUUGAGUUAGACAUCUUUGAAUUUAGAGUGUAAAAACAAGAAAUUGUAGUUUCAAUAUUCUUAUUAAGAAUAUGUCUAUUUAUUUAAGUGUUUGACUCUUAUCUCGUUAAUUGUUUAUGGUUGAUUCUGUUCAUCUUUGAAGCUCUUUUAUCAGAAAAUUAAUUCAUUAAUCAUGCAGUCAAGACCUGCAAUUUUCAUUUUCGUUUUCAUGUAUGGGUUUUUCUUGUCAGAAAAUUUGGUCAGUGCUGUUUGCAGUGAUAGGGAGAUUGAAGCUCUCCUAAACUUCAAACAAGACUUGGUGGAUUCUUCGGAUUUUCUCUCUAAUUGGGUUGGUAAAGACUGUUGCAAAUGGAAUGGAGUAGUUUGCAAUACAAAAACUGAAAAUACUAGUGUUGUUCAGCUCAACGUGCAAGGAUUUGGCUUAGAUGGUAUGUUAAACCCUUCACUGGUACAGUUAGAGAAUUUGAAUUAUUUAGAUUUAAGUUCAAAUACUUUUUCCGAAACCUCGUUACCAUCUUUCUUGGGUUCAUUACGUAAUUUGAGAUACCUUAAUCUGUCUAGAAGUUUUGAUAGUGUCGAAAAUAUUCAUUGGCUUUCUAAUCUCUCUUCUUUGCAAUAUCUUGAUAUGUCUUAUGUUGACUUAGAAAAUGCAUCAUCUAAUUGGUUUCACGCAGUUACUAUGAUUCCAUCUUUAUUAGAACUACAUCUACGCUACUGUAACCUGUAUCCAAACUUUCCUUCUAUUUCAUACUCAAAUCUCACUUCUCUUAAAGUUCUUGAUCUUAGUUACACUGGUCUCAAUUCAACCUUGCCUGAAUGGUUCUAUAAUCUUACAAGUCUUGAGAAACUUGAUAUUCAUUACAAUAGUUUUCGAGGAACCAUUUCAGAAGCUAUUGGUAACCUUGUCAAUCUCACUAACCUCGACAUCUCUUCCAAUGAUUUUGAGGGAGAAAUACCAGAAACCUUUGGAAAUCUUUGCAACUUGCAGGCAUUAGACUUGUCAAGUAACUACCACCUCAAGGGUGAAAUAUAUUUUUUAGCUAAUCUGUCCAGUUGCACAGGAAGUAAGUUGACAUCGGUAAGUUUGGAUGGUAAUCAAUUUUCAGGUCCAUUGCCAGAUCAGUUAGGGAGUUUUAAGAAUCUUGAGUACCUUUCUUUUAUGAGUAAUUCAUUUUCUGGUCCGAUUCCGUCAUCGUUAGGUGACCUGUCGUCAUUGAAGGUGUUAAAUGGUUUUUUCAAUAAGUUGAAUGGUUCUUUACCGGAAAGUUUUGGACAUCUUUCGAAAUUGAGAAUUUUGAGACUUGCCUUUAAUGCUCUAGAAGGCAUAAUAAGUGAAGCUCAUUUCUCAAGUCUGACGAGUCUGGAAGAACUAGAAGUGCAUUCUCUAGUUUUUAAGUUGAAACCUGAUUGGAUUCCUCCAUUUCAACUUCAGGUUGCAAACUUGCAAGCUUGUAAACUAGGACCUCAAUUCCCUGAAUGGUUACAAACACAAAAAAAUAUAAGUCGAAUUGAUAUAUUUAAUGCAGGCAUUUCAGAUACAGUUGUUCCUACUUGGUUUUGGAAUAUGUCUACUCAGUUCAGUUACUUAAAUUUAUCUCACAAUCAGAUUCAUGGACAAGUACCAGAUUUGUUACUUCGGGAUGAUCCGUGAGGGUGACUAGUUUACUUGAAUUCGAACCAUUUUGUGGGUAAAUUGCCCAGAAUAUCACCUGGUGUGGGAGAAUUGGAUCUUUCUGAUAACUUAUUUAAUGGAUCAAUUUCUGUUUUGCUAUGCAAUCCAUUAGGCAACAUGAAUAAUCGAAUUCUUGAUCUCUCGAGAAACCAAUUAUCUGGAGAAAUUCCUGAUUGCUGGUCUGACUGGUGGAAUCUGGUAUCGAUAAGUUUGGCAAGCAAUUACCUUACAGGAGAGAUUCCGGCAUCUAUCGGUUCUAUAAGCACCCUUCGAUCACUGCAUCUGCGAAAUAAUUCUCUUUCAGGAAAAUUACCUUCAGCAUUGCUCAAGUGUAGGGAACUGAGAGUGAUUGAUAUUAGUGAGAAUGAGUUCACUGGGAACAUACCAAAAUGGAUUGGGGAGUACUUGUUUCUCCUUAUCUUUCGAUUACGCUUCAAUAAGUUUUAUGGCGCUAUUCCUCAACAACUGUGUCACCAGAAUUCAGUUCAAAUUUUGGAUUUUGCUCAUAACAAUCUAUCAGAAUAUAAAGAGAUCGCAUCUCUGGUGACAACAGGAAGAGAGUUUGAAUACAGCAAUACUCUUACACUUCUUACAAUCAUGGACCUAUCUGACAACAGUUUAUCAGGUGACAUUCCUGGAGAACUAACAAAUUUGAUUGGUUUACGGUCUUUGAAUUUAUCGCGUAAUCAUUUAACAGGAAGAAUUCCAAACAAGAUUGGCAACAUGAGCAUAUUGGAGUCUCUUGAUUUGUCAAAAAACAAACUUUCAGGUUCUGUUCCUCAAAGUAUAGUAAACUUAACCUUUCUAAGUCACUUGAACUUGUCGUAUAACAACUUGUCGGGGAAAAUUCCGGUGGGUACUCAACUACAAGGUCUGCCUGAAUCGAGUUUCGUUGGUAAUGGAAGACUCUGUGGUGCUCCACUAAAUGACUGCAAUGUUGGCGAUGUUGAAGAUAAACAAGGACUAGGAAGUGUUGAUAAUGAAACAGAAAAAGAAAAAGAAGAAUGGUUUGAAAUGAAGUGGUUUUAUAUUAGCGUAGCCUUGGGUUUUGCUAUAGGCUGUUGGGGAUUUUGUGGUGUUUUACUUGUGAAUCAAUCAUGGAGAGUUGCAUAUUUUAAGUUCCUUGAUGUUAUUGCAAUCAAAUUAUGUAAUUGUUGUAGUAGAUCUACACCAAGAUAAUCAACACCAGAAACUAAAUGAAUGCAAGCCUUAAACAUCGAAUUGUAAUUAAUAUUAUUACAAGCCAUACAAUUUUUUUGUAAUAUCAA
RNA transcript from Papaver somniferum (opium poppy), 3444 nucleotides. It is a transcript of the gene named receptor-like protein EIX2, with no coding region annotated. Lineage: Eukaryota; Viridiplantae; Streptophyta; Magnoliopsida; Ranunculales; Papaveraceae. The record is from RefSeq and is a predicted model, not a curated record. The transcript is spliced from 2 exons.